Molecule: ribosomal RNA, 427 nt
Filed under: uncultured bacterium
Lineage: Bacteria
Description: bacterial SSU rRNA
Rfam family: Bacterial small subunit ribosomal RNA
Source: RNAcentral
UGGGGAAUUUUGGACAAUGGGCGCAAGCCUGAUCCAGCAAUGCCGCGUGCAGGAUGAAGGCCUUCGGGUUGUAAACUGCUUUUGUACGGAGCGAAAAGGUCUGCCCUAAUACGGUGGGCUAAUGACGGUACCUGAAGAGUAAGCACCGGCUAACUACGUGCCAGCAGCCGCGGUAAUACGUAGGGUGCAAGCGUUAAUCGGAAUUACUGGGCGUAAAGCGUGCGCAGGCGGUUAUAUAAGACAGAUGUGAAAUCCCCGGGCUCAACCUGGGACCUGCAUUUGUGACUGUAUAGCUAGAGUACGGUAGAGGGGGAUGGAAUUCCGCGUGUAGCAGUGAAAUGCGUAGAUAUGCGGAGGAACACCGAUGGCGAAGGCAAUCCCCUGGACCUGUACUGACGCUCAUGCACGAAAGCGUGGGGAGCAAACA